CCUACGGGUGGCAGCAGUGGGGAAUAUUGCACAAUGGGGGAAACCCUGAUGCAGCGACGCCGCGUGAAGGAAGAAGUCUCUCGGUAUGUAAACUUCUAUCAUCAGGGAAGAACAUGACGGUACCUUACUAAUAAGCACCGGCUAACUACGUGCCAGCAGCCGCGGUCAUACGUAGGGGGCGAGCGUUAUCCGGAUUGCCUGGGUGUAAAGGGAUCUUUAACGGAAGAGCAAGUCUGAUGUGAAAGGCUGGGGCCUAACCCCAGGACUCUAUUGGAAACUGUUUUUCUCGAGUGCCGGAGAGGUAAGUGGAAUUUCUAGUGUAGAGGUGAAAUGCGUAGAUAUUAGGAGGAACACCAGUGGCGAAGGCGGCUUACUGGACGGGAACUGACGUUGAGGCUCGAAAGCGUGGGGAGCAAACAGGAUUAGAUACCCGGGUAGUC
This 440-nucleotide ribosomal RNA is filed under the name uncultured bacterium. RNAcentral describes it as "partial 16S ribosomal RNA". It matches the Rfam family "Bacterial small subunit ribosomal RNA", at positions 338 to 795 of the family's 1533-position model. The record is from RNAcentral.